AGAGUUUGAUCCUGGCUCAGGAUGAACGCUGGCGGCGUGCCUAAUACAUGCAAGUCGAACGAGAACGAGGUAAUUCUUAGGAAGAACCUUUAGUAAAGUGGCGAACGGGUGAGUAACACGUAGGUGACCUGCCCUCAGGAGGGGAACAACCAGUGGAAACGCUGGCUAAAGCCCCAUAAGCUCACAGGAAUUAGAACCCGGUGAGAAAACAUUCCGAUGCCUGAGGAGGGGCCUGCGGCCCAUCAGCUAGUUGGUAGGGUAAAAGCCUACCAAGGCGAAGACGGGUAGGGGGCCUGAGAGGGUGGUCCCCCACACGGGAACUGAGACACGGUCCCGACUCCUACGGGAGGCAGCAGUAAGGGAUAUUGCGCAAUGGACGAAAGUCUGACGCAGCAACGCCGCGUGCCCGAUGAAGGCUUUCGGGUCGUAAAGGGCUUUUCUGGCUGAAGAGGAAGGACAGUAGGCCAGGAAUAAGUGUCGGCUAACUACGUGCCAGCAGCCGCGGUAAAACGUAGGACGCAAGCGUUAUCCGGAGUUACUGGGCGUAAAGCGCGGGCAGGCGGUUUUUCAAGUCUGACGUGAAAGCUCCCGGCUCAACUGGGAGAGGCCGUUGGAAACUGAAAAACUGGAGGAUGGUAGAGGCGUGUGGAAUUCCGGGUGGAGCGGUGAAAUGCGUAGAGAUCCGGAGGAACACCAGUGGCGAAGGCGGCACGCUGGGCCAUACCUGACGCUGAACCGCGAAAGCGUGGGGAGCAAACGGGAUUAGAAACCCCGGUAGUCCACGCCGUAAACGAUGUCAACUAGGUGUUGGGGGGAAAACCCUCAGUGCCGAAGCAAACGCGAUAAGUUGACCGCCUGGGGAGUACGGUCGCAAGGCUAAAACUCAAAGGAAUUGACGGGGACCCGCACAAGCAGCGGAGCGUGUGGUUUAAUUCGAGACAACGCGAAGAACCUUACCUGGGUUUGACAUAGCGGUAGUAGGGAAUCGAAAGAGGACCGACCUUCGGGAGCCGUUACAGGUGCUGCAUGGCUGUCGUCAGCUCGUGCCGUGAGGUGUUCGGUUAAGUCCGCGAACGAGCGCAACCCCUGUCGUUAGUUACAAGUGUCUAGCGAGACUGCCGGCGACAAGCCGGAGGAAGGUGGGGAUGACGUCAAGUCAGCAUGGCCUUUAUAUCCAGGGCUACACACACGCUACAAUGGCCGGUACAAAGGGAAGCGAAACCGCGAGGUGAAGCGGAUCUCAGAAAGCCGGUCUCAGUUCAGAUUGCAGGCUGCAACUCGCCUGCAUGAAGUCGGAGUUGCUAGUAACCGCGCAUCAGCCACGGUGCGGUGAAUACGUUCCCGGGUCUUGUACACACCGCCCGUCACGUCAUGGAAGCUGGUAACACCUGAAGUCGGCGAGCUAACCUAACGGAGGCAACCGCCUAAGGUGGGACUGGUGACUGGGACGAAGUCGUAACAAGGUA
RNAcentral lists this ribosomal RNA (1466 nucleotides) under metagenome. Its description in RNAcentral is "bacterial SSU rRNA". It matches the Rfam family "Bacterial small subunit ribosomal RNA". The record is from RNAcentral.